CGUCGUAGAUUGUUUACAGUUCGAACUUCCAUCAUCAUUGAAGGUACAGUCAAAGGAGAAACACACAACAUCCAUGUCGACUUAAUAAGCUUGGUAUGGGAACAUUAUGGAGUUCCAAUACAAAAUAUCACCGUAUAUAAUUAUGUAUCGAAUAUAACUCUGAAACCUCGGGACAUAUGGGUCGCAGGUAUGUACACUUGCAUUGUGGUUAAAAGGUACAUGCAUGGCCGUACGUCGACAGUAUGGAGUUAGCGGAAGUUAUACCAUCCACCAGCACUACUCCUAGUGACGUAAUGUACGAAUAUCCUCCUCUGAACAUGCCAUAUACGUGACGGUGCGAUCAUCCGCACAGUGAAAUAAAACCGGAAGUACAAUGGAUGUAGACCACAUCAACCGGAAGCACGCCACGACCGGUACAAUACAAGGAAUCGAUCACUUCCGACACUGCUGGUAUGCAUGGUUAAUAGGACUACACUCGAACGUCGGGCCCUGUGAGAAAGAAGAAAAAGAAAGAAACAGAA
Long non-coding RNA from Mizuhopecten yessoensis (Yesso scallop), 521 nucleotides. RefSeq lists it as uncharacterized. NCBI's taxonomy places the organism in Eukaryota, Metazoa, Mollusca, Bivalvia, Pectinida, Pectinidae. The record is from RefSeq and is a predicted model, not a curated record. The transcript has 3 exons.